UUGCAACAUACUUUAGCAUGUCUGGAAAUGUGUUUUUUCCUGCCCACAUCUUAAAAAGACAUAAUUGCACAGUGGGUGCCUUUGUGAUUUUUUUAAGUGCCUUCUGUGAACAAGGAGAAAUGCAGACAUGUUGGCAGAGCUGAUCAUUUUCAUUGUGGAUCUCAUGCUUGCUUUAGCCAUUUUUGUUAUCCUAUAUGCUGUUUACUUCAUAGCAGCCACAGGUAUUUUUAUCUUAGUCCUUCUCUAUAUUUUCAAAACGGAGAUGGAAAAAAACUGUGACAUCAACAAGGGGAGAAUCUGGGUACUGGAUUCUUCUAACCAUAGUUCUGGGAAGCUAUUUGCAGGCAAUUUAGAGAAAGUCUGCUCCAGGAGGGUUCCAACCUCCUGGAACAGACUUUCAGCCUCAAGAGAAGGGGCUUUCUUGCCCAAAGAAAGUUAUCUCUUCUAAAGAGUGAUGAGCUCUCUGGAGCAGAGGAGACCCAUGGAAAGACUUCCUGGAACACCGGACUCAACCAACUGAGAGGUAUCUUUUUAAAAGGACGUCCUGCCCCCCAAUCGUAUAAGCUUCUGCUUCCAUUAACUCUGUGUUCACUACUCCUGAGUGAUAUUUUUACUGAACAAAAGAAACUUGUGCACAAUAUUAUAUUUAUUCAUCAAUGAAUUUGGACCAACCAGUAUCUUUAUUCUAUAUGAGAGAUAUUGUUUAAGGUCACACUACCAUCUACACAUGAAUAACAAUGAAGUUCUCAUAAACGAGCAGAAAUACCCAGGAAACAUGAAGAGUUGAUUGCUUCAAAAACUCAUGUAUUAUGACAUUACAACCUCAGAAAAGAUAUGUUUUAUAACUCUAAAAACUCAAUUGUGGAAAGAGUAAACAAGCUGUUUGAUGGCAGAGUACCAAAACUUGUUGAAAUACCUUUGGAGCUUUAACUAUACAGAGUCACCAAAAUGUUUCAUGAAUUUAAUUGAAAAAUGUUCCUUUAAAACUGCCUUAGCCAAUCAGAGCAUUUUUGCCAUUGCCUCUGCUGGUCUCAGUGUGGUCCAGAAGAAUCAUCGUCCACUACCUCACUGAGAAACAGCACGAAGGCUCUGCUAUCUUACAGCUUUGACUGUAUGUGAUUUCUCUCUCCACCAUAACACCUUGUCAAAGCUUGCCACACUUAUUGCAUUCUGUAUUUUACUUGCUUUGGUUAUUUGUACAGUUUUCCCUAUUUCAUCUUCAAAUUAUCCCUAAAUUUUAGCAAUUUCUCCUCAGCUGCUCUGUAUUCUCAAUAGUGCUUUUCCAAGUGCCAUGAAUAUUAAUAAAUAUUUUCCUGAGUCAAUGAACCCACCAAAUCUGAAUCCACAGUUAUAAAUGCUGUAUAUUUCAAGGAAAGGUGAAAAUUAAUGGAGGACCAUUAGCAGAGGAAUGAGCUUAUCAGAAUUCUCAAAAUUCAACAAGAAGGUCCAGAAGUUAGGGUCUGAAGCGUUUGUUCAUGUUUUUACAAAUGGUUAAUUCCUUAAGAAUAGCUAAUCAGCAGCAAAAUUCCAGUUUUUCAGACAUUCACACUUUUGUUCAUGGGAAGCCAAGAAGAGACCAUGACAGAGAUAGAAGAGCAACUGGGCUGGGAAGGUAUGUGAAGAGCCAUUGGGAAAGGAGAAACAGAGGAAGCUUGACAUUCUGGAAUGUGAGCCUACGCAGUACUUGGUUCCCCAGAAAGCUGAGCUGGGCACAGUAUGUGUGUGCAGAAAGUUUACUUUGGGCACUUCCAUCCCAAACUACUGGAAGACAUGGAGUUGUCAAGCUAAACAUCAUAGGCAGUUUUGGCUCAAUCCUCCAGGGGGCGCUCUGAAAAGAUGCAUAGAAUAUACCUCAAAGUUGUCCACCAGAAGGACCAACGAAAGAAAUUAUCCAUCAGCUUUCUUCUCCCUUUGGUCAAGAAUUUCUCUGCAGGGUGUGCAUGACCUUGAACUUCUAGGAUUGUGUCUAAUCCAUGCUUCAGAACAGUUGAAUGAUUUCCAGAAGGCAUCUUAAGAGAUGGCAAAAGAGAAGCUCCAGGACAGAAAGCAAGAGAUCGGUGUUGCCCCUGAUGGAAGGUGCUGCCAAGUGACGCCACCAUCAAAGUGGCUACUGUAAACAGGUGGGCCAGAGGAGGUGACCUGGGGCACAAGAGAAUGACUGACAUCACUCUUUUAGUAGUACAGGAACCAAAUACAAGACUGUCUGCUCUGGAAAUAAUGAGCACAGGAUCAUAUCCAUCCAUUUUGGACAGAGAAAGGGGCACUCAGACCAAGGGGCAGCCAGAAAAAAACACAACUGGAGAUCAGAAGACACCAGGGCCUCGGGGGCAUUGCCCUUGCUAAGAACCAAACUCCACCUUCCCUCUGCUUCAAACAGAGACCAACACCGGGUGGGAGUGUUUCUUCCUAUUCAUGUUUUUGGUAUUUGGUUUCUACUUAUUUUAACUUGCCAGCCCUGACAAAACAAUGCCAUCUGGCAGCCACUGCUUAUCUGCAUAUAAAUUGUUUUAUCUCUUUAGGUGCUCUGAGUUUUGUGAAUGUUAUGAAAACCUCUCAGGUUUUAAUACUUAUAACCCUAGUUUGAAUUUCUCCAAAAGCAGGCCCUGAGGCAAGGGCAUGGUACAAAUAAUUUAUUUGGGUGGUGACCCCAGGUAGUGCUGCAAGGGAGUGGGAAGUGAAGCAGGGAAGAAAAGGCAGUGUGUGUACAUGAGCAGGUUUCAGUCUUUCUGAUUACAUGCACCAUUGAGUGACUGGAGCUGGGUGUCUAUGCACAGGCUCUAGAUCCUCACUAAUUGAAGGUUCCUCCUGGGCACAAACCUAUGGCACUUUCAGGUUGCCCUGCAUGCAGGCAGACAAGGCAGCAGAGACAUGCGGCUGGUUGAGGUGGAGGGGAUGGGUGUACACAAAGCUGCAGUGAAUCCAGACAUUGGUCAAGGGCAUAUAGAUUGGAGCAUUGUGGCUUCUACUAUGCACCCUGAGAUAAUUUUGCACAGGUCAAAAUGUCCAAACACGGAGAAAAACAAUAGCAAAAACCUCCUCUGGUAUCUAGGUGGAAAGAAGAAUAUUUAAUUAGUAAAGAGUUAGAGGCAACUAAAAUAACUUUGAAACUGAGAUUAUUUAUUAAAAUUUGCAGACAAAAACUUCAAAAUGGCGUUAAUGAAAAUCCUAUUGGCUGUGGCUGAAGAACAAAUUAGGAAAGAAACCGACAUGCUUAUUGCUCUACCCUACAAACAAAGGCCCUCACCAAACUGUGUUAAAUAACCUGCUCUGCUCUGUUCCUGUAUGAACACAUGGAAACCACUGGGGAUUUUUUGAUUCUGUGGCAUUAGUCAUUGCUCUGGACUGUCACUGAGGUGGAGUCACUCAAAGAGAGAAGGGUUGUGACCCUCUUUUUUCCCACCCAGUGUUUUCUGAUGGAAGGACAAUGACAAUUUAUGAAAAUUUGACUUAAAUGAAGUUGAUUUCACAGGGAACAGAAGGCUGAACAGAGCAUAGAAGAGAAGCUAGAAAGAAAAUAGUCUCAGUGGCUUCAUAGAUUAAAAACUCACAAUUCUUCAUUUUCUCCUAAUAAAAUUAUAAAUACACCCUUCUGCCGUGACAUUAGGGUAGACUGAGUGAACAGCUUGGAUUCCGGGCUUGGCCAUGUGACUUGUUUAAACAAAGUUAGCAGACAUCACAUUAACCUGAAUGUUACACUUGUCUUCUUGGCAAUUGUGAUCCUCUAUGAAGAGGACACAUCCCAAGUAACUGUUCUUCUUCAGCUUUAGCUUAGGCUCCAGAAUGAAAUGUGGAGCCAACUUGAACCCAGAUCCAGACAGGUGUCUGUUUUGGGACAGAGAACCUGAGGCAGAGCUGCUCAGCCAAGGCUAUUUUAGAUGAGACCCCCAAGCAUGAGGACAAAGUGCUUACUGUUGUGUAAACUAUUGAAUUUGCAAAUAAAUUUAUUACGUAGCACAACUGUGACAUUGUAAAAGUCCUCAAUAAAUACUAACAUAUUCAUUA
Molecule: long non-coding RNA, 4002 nt
Organism: Phyllostomus discolor (pale spear-nosed bat)
Lineage: Eukaryota; Metazoa; Chordata; Mammalia; Chiroptera; Phyllostomidae
Exons: 2
Source: RefSeq, a predicted model, not a curated record